RNAcentral lists this ribosomal RNA (253 nucleotides) under Leyella stercorea DSM 18206. Its description in RNAcentral is "Prevotella stercorea DSM 18206 partial 16S ribosomal RNA". It matches the Rfam family "Bacterial small subunit ribosomal RNA", at positions 524 to 776 of the family's 1533-position model. The record is from RNAcentral. Lineage: Bacteria; Pseudomonadati; Bacteroidota; Bacteroidia; Bacteroidales; Prevotellaceae.
UACGGAAGGUCCAGGCGUUAUCCGGAUUUAUUGGGUUUAAAGGGAGCGUAGGCCGUUUGGUAAGCGUGUUGUGAAAUGUCGGGGCUCAACCUGGGCAUUGCAGCGUGAACUGCCAGACUUGAGUGCGCAGGAAGUAGGCGGAAUUCGUCGUGUAGCGGUGAAAUGCUUAGAUAUGACGAAGAACUCCGAUUGCGAAGGCAGCCUGCUGUAGCGCAACUGACGCUGAAGCUCGAAAGCGUGGGUAUCGAACAGG